RNAcentral lists this signal recognition particle RNA (264 nucleotides) under human gut metagenome. RNAcentral's name for it is "Bacterial large signal recognition particle RNA". It matches the Rfam family "Bacterial large signal recognition particle RNA". Rfam says of the family: The signal recognition particle (SRP) is a universally conserved ribonucleoprotein involved in the co-translational targeting of proteins to membranes. Archaeal SRP consists of a 7S RNA and homologues of the eukaryotic SRP19 and SRP54 proteins. The record is from RNAcentral.
CCGUGCUAGAUGGGGAGUUAGUGGUGCCCUGUACCUACAAUCCACUAUACGUAGGGUCGAAUGCCUAUAUAGGCUUAUAGUAUGGAAGGCAGAACACAAUAAGUGAUGUUGAUACCAAGGUCUUGUGCAAUAGCACUUUGUGAACCAUGUCAGAGCUUGACCGCAGCAGCAUUAAGCAAAAUCUGUUAUGUGCCACAAGGUAGCUUUGGAGGAGUUGGCUGUUGUGUUACCGCUUCGGUGCUAUCUGUCGAAAUAGGAUGCACG